AAGUAUAGAGGAACAAGAGGGAGAAUCGAAGUGAGAAGAUGAUAGGAGAGGAUGUGAGGGAGGAGUAACAAAAGUGAAAACAAAAACUAAAAACUGAAAUCUAUUUAAAAUUGUUUUCACUUUUGUUACUUCUUCCUUCCAUCUUUCUCUCUCAACUUUUCUCUCAAUCUCACAAUCACUCUCAUUUUUCUCUGCACUCU
Molecule: small nucleolar RNA, 200 nt
Filed under: Prunus dulcis (almond)
Lineage: Eukaryota; Viridiplantae; Streptophyta; Magnoliopsida; Rosales; Rosaceae
Description: sRNA ncRNA
Source: RNAcentral